CGAAAAGCUAAUAUUCAGUACUUUUUGAAGCAAUCUACUAACGUUUGUCAAAUUUGUGGAGAUGGAAACUGUGGAACUAAUCAAUGUGAUUCAAAAUUUUGUGAUGCUUUUGAGGUAAAGGAUGGUGCCUUUCUUGGCAAUAUGAAGGCGGUUGGUUCACGUGUAGAAAUCACGUGUCACAAAUAUUUCAAGGAAGUGUCAGGAAAGACGCAUUCGGUCUGUCAGAGAAAUGGGACAUGGUCACACUAUCCAAGUUGCAUUCCAAAUUUCACAUACAUCGGUUGCUUUGAAGAUCGACCAGACAGGAUUCUAUAUGACAGAGAUAUUAGGCCGCCAUCAUUGACAACAGACAUGUGUAUCAGAAUGUGUAUUGAAUAUGAUCAUGAAUAUUCAUUA
Molecule: long non-coding RNA, 396 nt
Organism: Ruditapes philippinarum (Manila clam)
Lineage: Eukaryota; Metazoa; Mollusca; Bivalvia; Venerida; Veneridae
Exons: 3
Source: RefSeq, a predicted model, not a curated record